GGCCGAAACGGGGGCACCCGCCCCCGUCUGCCGGUUAGACCGGCACUGAGGAGGCCGACAUCG
This 63-nucleotide non-coding RNA is filed under the name Deltaproteobacteria bacterium. Lineage: Bacteria; Pseudomonadati; Myxococcota; Myxococcia. The record is from RNAcentral.